UGGGGAAUAUUGCACAAUGGGCGCAAGCCUGAUGCAGCCAUGCCGCGUGUGUGAAGAAGGCCUUCGGUUGUAAAGCACUUUCAGCGAGGAGGAAGGUGGUGGACUUAAUACGUUCAUCAAUUGACGUUACUCGCAGAAGAAGCACCGGCUAACUCCGUGCCAGCAGCCGCGGUAAUACGGAGGGUGCAAGCGUUAAUCGGAAUUACUGGGCGUAAAGCGCACGCAGGCGGUUUGUUAAGUCAGAUGUGAAAUCCCCGGGCUCAACCUGGGAACUGCAUUUGAAACUGGCAAGCUAGAGUCUCGUAGAGGGGGGUAGAAUUCCAGGUGUAGCGGUGAAAUGCGUAGAGAUCUGGAGGAAUACCGGUGGCGAAGGCGGCCCCCUGGACGAAGACUGACGCUCAGGUGCGAAAGCGUGGGGAGC
This 421-nucleotide ribosomal RNA is filed under the name uncultured bacterium. RNAcentral's name for it is "partial 16S ribosomal RNA". It matches the Rfam family "Bacterial small subunit ribosomal RNA", at positions 355 to 769 of the family's 1533-position model. The record is from RNAcentral.